Molecule: small nucleolar RNA, 77 nt
Filed under: Eutrema salsugineum
Lineage: Eukaryota; Viridiplantae; Streptophyta; Magnoliopsida; Brassicales; Brassicaceae
Description: Small nucleolar RNA SNORD18
Rfam family: Small nucleolar RNA SNORD18
About the family: U18 is a member of the C/D class of snoRNA which contain the C (UGAUGA) and D (CUGA) box motifs. It is encoded in introns of ribosomal protein L1 in Xenopus and human, and in introns of elongation factor 1 beta in yeast. Related snoRNAs in Arabidopsis and rice have been named R63 and Z106 respectively.
Source: Rfam by way of RNAcentral
GAGAUAUGAUGAGCAACAAAUUGGUCCGUGUUUCUGAUUAACCGUGACCGAGAAUUUCUUAACCAAACUCUGAUCUC